This 291-nucleotide long non-coding RNA is filed under the name Elaeis guineensis (African oil palm). RNAcentral's name for it is "long non-coding RNA (EGUI_LNC066602)". The record is from RNAcentral. Lineage: Eukaryota; Viridiplantae; Streptophyta; Magnoliopsida; Arecales; Arecaceae.
CCUAAGGAUAUUGUCAACAUUAUGGUAUUGACCAUAACGAAAUAUUUUCUGCUGUGGCAAUGCUAAAAUUUCAGAGUUGGAACAUGUAUUUUGAUAAGUAAUCGAAAACGCAUGGCUUCGUUGAGAAUGAAAAAAAUUCUAUAAAUACAAAUGGGUUAAUAGUUCUAUGAGUGUAUUUCUUAUUUUGUAUAUGAAUAAAAUUCUCUUAAUUGAAAAUAACAUUUCUUAUAUUAUAGAAAAUUUAGGUUUCACUGUUAUUAUUAUUCUCUAUAAAGGACUUUGGAAAAAGCA